ACGGAGGGUGCAAGCGUUAAUCGGAAUCACUGGGCGUAAAGCGCGCGUAGGCGGCUUUUUAAGUCGGACGUGAAAGCCCUCGGCUCAACCGGGGAACUGCGUUCGAAACUGGGAAGCUUGAGUCCUGGAGAGGGUGGCGGAAUUCCGCGUGUAGGGGUGAAAUCCGUAGAUAUCCGGAGGAACACCGGUGGCGAAGGCAGCCUCCUGGGCAGGUACUGACGCUGAGGCGCGAAAGCGUGGGGAGCAAACAG
RNAcentral lists this ribosomal RNA (251 nucleotides) under uncultured prokaryote. Its description in RNAcentral is "partial 16S rRNA". It matches the Rfam family "Bacterial small subunit ribosomal RNA", at positions 525 to 775 of the family's 1533-position model. The record is from RNAcentral.